UGGGGAAUAUUGCACAAUGGGCGAAAGCCUGAUGCAGCAACGCCGCGUGAGCGAAGAAGGUCUUCGGAUCGUAAAGCUCUGUCCUUGGGGAAGAUAAUGACGGUACCCUUGGAGGAAGCCCCGGCUAACUACGUGCCAGCAGCCGCGGUAAUACGUAGGGGGCAAGCGUUAUCCGGAAUUAUUGGGCGUAAAGAGUGCGUAGGUGGUUACCUAAGCAGGGGGUGAAAGGCAUUGGCUUAACCAAUGUUAGCCCCCUGAACUGGGCUACUUGAGUGCAGGAGAGGAAAGCGGAAUUCCUAGUGUAGCGGUGAAAUGCGUAGAUAUUUCGCAGAACGCCGAUUGCGAAGGCAGCCGCCCAGGGACGCACUGACGCUGAGGCACGAAGGCAUGGGGAUCGAACAGGAUUAGAUACCCUGGUAGU
Molecule: ribosomal RNA, 421 nt
Filed under: uncultured Anaerovorax sp.
Lineage: Bacteria; Bacillati; Bacillota; Clostridia; Peptostreptococcales; Anaerovoracaceae
Description: bacterial SSU rRNA
Rfam family: Bacterial small subunit ribosomal RNA
Source: RNAcentral